GGCCCUACCAUGCUGAACAUACCGGUUUCAGUUUGAUCACCGAAGUCAAGCAUCAUCGGGAGCGAUCAGUACUUGGGAGGGUGGACACCUGGGCA
Caerostris darwini is the source of this 95-nucleotide non-coding RNA. Lineage: Eukaryota; Metazoa; Arthropoda; Arachnida; Araneae; Araneidae. The record is from the annotation of a GenBank genome assembly.